Molecule: ribosomal RNA, 429 nt
Filed under: Gemmatimonadota bacterium
Lineage: Bacteria; Pseudomonadati; Gemmatimonadota
Description: Gemmatimonadetes bacterium partial 16S ribosomal RNA
Rfam family: Bacterial small subunit ribosomal RNA
Source: RNAcentral
UAGGGAAUCUUCGGCAAUGGACGAAAGUCUGACCGAGCAACGCCGCGUGAGUGAAGAAGGUUUUCGGAUCGUAAAACUCUGUUGUUAGAGAAGAACAAGGACGUUAGUAACUGAACGUCCCCUGACGGUAUCUAACCAGAAAGCCACGGCUAACUACGUGCCAGCAGCCGCGGUAAUACGUAGGUGGCAAGCGUUGUCCGGAUUUAUUGGGCGUAAAGCGAGCGCAGGCGGUUUCUUAAGUCUGAUGUGAAAGCCCCCGGCUCAACCGGGGAGGGUCAUUGGAAACUGGGAGACUUGGGUGCAGAAGAGGAGAGUGGAAUUCCAUGUGUAGCGGUGAAAUGCGUAGAUAUAUGGAGGAACACCAGUGGCGAAGGCGGCUCUCUGGUCUGUAACUGACGAUGAGGCUCGAAAGCGUGGGGAGCAAACAGG